This 380-nucleotide ribosomal RNA is filed under the name uncultured bacterium. RNAcentral's name for it is "bacterial SSU rRNA". It matches the Rfam family "Archaeal small subunit ribosomal RNA", at positions 474 to 853 of the family's 1478-position model. The record is from RNAcentral.
UACCGGCGGCUCGAGUGGUGGCCGCUAUUACUGGGCUUAAAGCGUCCGUAGCUGGGUUGUUAAGUCUCCUGGGAAAUCUACCGGCUCAACCGAUGGGCGUUCAGGAGAUACUGGCAACCUAGGGACCGGGAGAGGUGAGGGGUACUCCAGGGGUAGGAGUGAAAUCCUGUAAUCCUUGGGGGACCACCUGUGGCGAAGGCGUCUCACCAGAACGGCUCCGACAGUGAGGGACGAAAGCUGGGGGAGCAAACCGGAUUAGAUACCCGGGUAGUCCCAGCCGUAAACGAUGCGCGUUAGGUGUGUCGGUGACCACGAGUCACCGAGGUGCCGAAGGGAAACCGUGAAACGUGCCGCCUGGGAAGUACGGUCGCAAGGCUGAA